RNAcentral lists this ribosomal RNA (138 nucleotides) under uncultured Trebouxiophyceae. RNAcentral's name for it is "partial small subunit ribosomal RNA". It matches the Rfam family "Eukaryotic small subunit ribosomal RNA", at positions 1670 to 1804 of the family's 1831-position model. Lineage: Eukaryota; Viridiplantae; Chlorophyta; Trebouxiophyceae. The record is from RNAcentral.
CGCCCGUCGCUCCUACCGAUUGGAUGUGCUGGUGAAGCGUUCGGAUUGGAGUCACUCGGCGGCUCGUCCGCCGGCUGGCACCGAGAAGUUCGUUAAACCCUCCCAUCUAGAGGAAGGAGAAGUCGUAACAAGGUCUCC